Molecule: small nucleolar RNA, 104 nt
Organism: Ailuropoda melanoleuca (giant panda)
Lineage: Eukaryota; Metazoa; Chordata; Mammalia; Carnivora; Ursidae
Source: Ensembl
AUCCUUUUGUAGUUCAUAAGCGUGAUAAUUGAGUGCUCACACUGUUGUGUGGCUUUUGCCUCCCUCAAACCUUGUUAUGACAUCAGCACAUUACCUGUCUGACA